GGUCUUUGAAGAUCCAGAUGAACUAUAAUCAUCAUCUCUCUCACUGGAAUCACUGUUUCCCCUACGAUGUGGUCCAAGGGCUGAAGGCUUUAAGUUGGCCUUUGGUGGAGGAACAGGUGGAGCACGAGCAACUUUAGGAGGAGGUGGUGGGGGAUGAGGACCAGGAGGAGGAGGUGGUGGUGCUCCAGGAGGUGGUGGUACUCCAGGUGGUGGUGGUGCUCCAGGUGGUGGUGGUCCAGGAGGUGCAGAAGAUUGUGGAGCCUGUCUCCCAGGAGGAGGUUUUAGCGGAGGAAAUGCUUCGCCAGCACUGAAUUUUGAUGACGGUGUCUCAACUAGUGAGGGACCAUAAUUUCCAUCCUUCAUAGACAAAUUGCUCUUAAAAGAAGCUGUCAUCCUGCUAUUUGAGCCGUACUCCUUAAAAUUUGAAUUUCUGAAACCAGAAGAAUUCUGCGAAGAACUAGCAGAGAUAUCAUUUAAGUGG
Molecule: unclassified non-coding RNA, 481 nt
Filed under: Hevea brasiliensis (rubber tree)
Lineage: Eukaryota; Viridiplantae; Streptophyta; Magnoliopsida; Malpighiales; Euphorbiaceae
Source: RNAcentral